This is a long non-coding RNA of Chelmon rostratus (copperband butterflyfish), 346 nucleotides long. RefSeq lists it as uncharacterized. Lineage: Eukaryota; Metazoa; Chordata; Actinopteri; Chaetodontiformes; Chaetodontidae. The record is from RefSeq and is a predicted model, not a curated record. The transcript is spliced from 3 exons.
GAGCCGGCCGCGGUGUUUACGGCUGAAGCCGCUUCAAGUGUCCCGGUCCGCUUCUGCCGCUCUCAGGUUUCAUCCGCCGACAUAAUGAGGCAACAGCCUGAAUCUCCAGCUGUGGCUCCGGAGGGCCUCCAUAGAUGAACCAGGACUGUUAGGCUGCAUCCCUGGUAGUGAAGCCCCCCUCACUGCUUUCAGCCACUCAGGGGACCCUUUUCACUGUGUCAACAUCUACAGCGUCAGGGUGCUCGGGAGGAAGCGGGGCCUCUUUUCAGCCGCCUGCUGUUUACUCUGGGUGUAGAUGAGCGCAGUGUCCCAGGGAUGGACCGAGUGGACAGCCUGGCAGAGUAUU